UCUUGUUAUUAUUGAUUUGUAAGAGUUCUUUUAUUUUAGAUACAACUCCCUUAUCAGAUAUAUUGUUUGCAAAUAUUUUUUUCCCAUUGUGUGUGUUGAUGAUGUCCUUCAAAGCGUGAAGGUUUUAAAUUUUUAUUAAGUCCAGUUUAUCCAUAUUUUUCUUGUGGUUUUGGUGGCAUAUCUAAGAAGCCAUUGCUAACAUAAGGCCACGAAGACUUGUAUCUGUAUUUCUUCUUUCCUCUUGUAAGAGUUUUAUGGUUUUACCUCUUACAUUUUGGCUUUUUGUCCAUUUAGAAUUGAUUUUUGUAUAUGGUGUGAUGUAGGGGUUCAACUUCAUUGUUUUACAUGAUAUCCGGUUGUCCCAGCACCAUUUAGUGAAAAGACUAUUCUUUCCCCACUACAUUGUCUUCAUCCUCUUGUCAAAAAGCAAUUGACUAUACAUGUGAGGGUUUAUUUCUGGACUCUGAAAUUCUGUUCCAUUGAACUGUCUGUCUAUCCCUAUACAAGUACCACACUAUCUUGAUCACUGUGGUUUUGUGGUGAGUUUUGAAAUCAGAAAGUGUGAAUCCUCCAACUUUGUUCUUCUUUUUCAAAAUUGUUUUGUGUAUUCUGUGUCCCUUGCAUUUCUAUGUGAAUGCAGGGACCGUGUUGAGACUGUAGAUCAAUUUGGGGGGUAUUGCCAUUUUAACAGUAUUAAAAAUCUUCUCAUCCAUGAACAUGGAUUACCUAUGUCUUCUUUAAUGUCUUUCAACAGUGUUUUGUGGUUUUCAGAGAAUAAAUUUUUCACUGCUUUUGUUAAAUGCAUUCCUAAAUAUUUUAUUCUUGUGAUGCUAUUGUAAAGGGAAUUGUUUUCUUAAUUUUAUUUUUGGGUUGUUCAUUUCACAUCCUUUUUAAAAUGUGGUCCCUGGAACCAUCAGACUAGCACUGAACACAGUGGGAUGUUCACUUCAAACUUGUGGAUAUGAUUCUGUACUCUAACCUCAGACAAAGUUAAGCUUUUUGUGGAAGAGGUGAGUUGGGGUUGGGUGGUUGGCACACUAACAGCACACCAUUGACUCAUGUCAACAAAACUCCUCACACCUUUUUAAGUCUUCUGCUGCUAAGCCAUGCCUUCCUUAUUCUAUACCUGGGCAAGUAGCUCUUGGGUGCCAAAAAUAGCACCUUACCCUUUCCAUUGCAUGUUCUUGGAUCCAGGCCAUUGCUUCUAAUCUAAGAGUGAGAAUGAUUUGGAUGCUGAUUCUGACCCUGGGUCAUGACGUCUUUGUUACCAGCCUAUUCAUGAAUGCAAUAAAGAUGGCCUCUUUAUUUUAAUUCAAGCCAGUAAUAAAAAUGUCCCAUGGGACUUUGCAAAGGAUAGAGGCUUGAAGUCCUGAAUUCAGAACCUCUCUCUGGGAACAUUAAAUUGUAGCCUCUGAAGAACAGUAUCCAACGAGUCCCCAAGCCAUCCAGUGGUCCACACACCAAAUUUAUAUCAACCCCAUUGAACUUACCAGAUGCCCUACUGAAUUCAUAAACUCUUGAUCUCCCUCAUUUCUACCGGUUUCUUAAUCCUGUCAAGGAAGGAAACAAGAUUCAUUUGAAAGAGUAUUUUAUCUGUGAACCCACAGUGGGUCCUGGUGCUUCCUGCUUUCUGUAUGUUCAUAAACCACAAAUCCCCUCUAACAAGCCAUUGCUGAAUUGUUUUCAUCAGCCAGUUGUUCUCAUAUCGUAAGAGAAUUAACCUCAGAUGGAGAAGCUGAGGAUCACCGAAGGGAAGGUCAGACAUAAGACUGGUAAGUGUGAAGGGAAGACUAGAACCCAAAGCUUAUGGUGACGUGUCUUGUGCUUCUUCCACUGGUAAUGGAGAGAGACAGUUCCCAUAUGGACACUUGAGCAAGUGUGGAUGUGGGAAGAAACUCAGUUAUCCACAUCCCAUGUCUUCAGAUAAACCCAAGUGUACUACUUACUUUACACAAAGUGAAAUACUACUGCUCUAUACAAAGUGAUAUAAGUGCCUUAGUGAACACCAGAAGACAGGCACAGCACACAAAGUUGUCUUUUAAAUCACAUUUGUGAUUUCAUAUUAUCUCAUUUAAUUCGGAUUCCUCUUGGGCCUGGAUUAUCUGGAUUGCAUUAAUUCAACAAGCACCUACUCAUGUUUUUUCAGGCCCCAUGGCAGACUCUGAUUCUGAGCUGUAAAGGGCAUAGUCCCUACACUGUGGGAGCUCCCUGUCCGACAGGGAAGGUUGACAGGAUGCCGGAGACCAGGCCAGGCAUCCUCUGCCUCUGGGGAUGGCAGCUGAGCAGGAAGAACAAUGGUUUCGGGAAUGUGUAUAGUCGCUCCUCUGUCAGGCGCCAGAUGAUACGAAUGUGACAGAAAGAAUGGCUGAUUUGGAGCUGGAAGGAAAGGGUCCUUUGGAGCAGAUGCAGUAGCGGGGACAGGCCUGGAGAGGCGCCAGAGAGCAAGAAGCCGUCUAGGCGCUGGCACAGCAAAUAUUGGAACCGUCAAUCUUCUGAAUCCAGGAGUGAGUGGGUUUCCCCUGCGGACAGUCCCCUGUGUCGCUGAAAUGUGUUGCUGAAACAGCAGCAGUGGCAGCAUUGCUGACGUCAGUUGAGCACUUCCUGUGUGCCAGGCUACUCAUCCUACUGGGCUCUCCCAUGGAAUCCUCAUCUUGCACGGAGAGCACAAAUGCUAUUUUCAGCCUUCUUUUUAGAAACAAGGAAGACUAAAGCUUUGAGAAAUUUAGAAAUGUGGUCAAACUCAAGUUAGAAAGAGGCAGAUCUGGCUUUGAAUGCAGGUGUAUCUGACUCCUGAGCUUUUGCCUUUAUAAGGGUUCAAGGUGCUUUCCUCUUUAUGCAAAGGUGGGUAAUGGAACCCCUUCACCAGAGGGCUUCAGUCAUGAGUAGCCCCAGUGGUGGCUUGUGCUGGCGAUGCUGGUGACUUUACCCCCAAAUAACUGUGCCACAUCAACACGUAGAGUGUCAGGAAAAGCCACUGCUCCUGAGCCAGGUGCCGGGAAGUGACUCCACUGAGUCCCCACUUAAGUCCUUUGAUGUGCCUCAUCCUCCCCCUUCCCUGCCUCUAGAGAUGGGCAGGUGUCCCAGGAAGCAGGACCCCAGGCCAGCUGCUGCUGGAGCCACAGAGCAGCCCUCUGGGAAGAGGAAGGAGUGGAGGAAGACAGGUCUGUGGAUGGAGGUCCCCCCCAACUUGCCUCCCCCUCCCCACUAGCCACUGGGGUCAUGAUACUGAAUUGUUCCCUGGUCAGUGGCACCAUCACUGACCUUACGGUAGCCUACUGUAGGAAAGUCUGAACAUAGGAACGGCGGUGCAGGGCCCCUGUAAAUAAGCCCUGUACAGGAAUGUGAGCUGUGGAGCAUCAGAUGUGCAAAAGUCAGAGACCACCUGGAUCUGAAAGGCUCUCUGUCUCUCAAAGGAGGGACUCUUCAACUGUGAUUUGAAUAAAUAUGGCAGCACAAUCGUGGAUCUGGCCAUAAUUACGCCAGACUGUUGUGGGGAACAGGAUGCAUGCUGGCAUUAAUAUGUUGAACCAUGAAAAUCAGGUUCUGGAAAUAAACAGGUUUAAGGAAAUGCUGUGUUGAAGUCCCACAGGUCUCUUAACUGCAGUACUCCUUAGGGCCUCCGUGUGCUCGCGGGGCAAUUGAAAUGCCCACCAUGGAAGUCAGCCUCGUAGCUUGUUAAUCCACACACGCACAAACCAGACUGCAAAACAGUCAUGGUCAUGUGGAUUUUUACUGAGGAUUUCUUGGGGUGACCAACACAGGAGGAAGUGACAUCACCCAGCUUGCAUCUAAACUUACUAAAUUCUCUGAGGUUUCCUGGCUGCCCCCUCCCCGCCCCUGUUCCCCCACCAGAGUUUUACUCCCAGUGGCAACUAAGACAUCUGUUCUCACAGCCAAGCUCCUUCUCCACCGUCUACCUCCAUUAUGGGCCUCAGCAUUCAUUCCUCAUCAGGAAAGCUGAAGGCCCCUUCAUCAAACUCUUAUAUUCCUCCAAAAGUCCUGGGGACUUUCAGAUAACCCUGAAACCUUCAGUCUUUCCAAAGAAAAAGCUGGCAUUGUCUUGGAACCCAGGGGACCAGCAUCCUCAGAAACUAACUUGGGAAAUUAUCCCCUAGAGACAUCAUCAGAGAUGGCCAGAGGCUAAAACCUGUUAAGACUGUAGCAGGCAGGACACACUUGCCCAGCAUUGCGGACUGAUCUUCCCGCCCUCCAGAGAGCUGGGCUGAGGAAGAUCCCAGGAUGAAGUCUGGGCGCAGUCUGCAUGUCCUGAUUGAAGAAUGAUUAUCAGCCGAGGCUGUGAAUGAGGAGGCGUUGGUAGCCAGAGGGCUAGGAAUCUGCCAUACCUGGACUACAGCUUAGUCUAGGAAACAGCCCAGAAUUGGGACUGAACGGCUGCAGUGUGAUCCUUGCUCUGCUCCAGACUCACGGUGUAUUGUCAUAAUGACAGUUUACCUCUGUGAGCCUCACUUCCUUCCAAGUGGCACAGACACCCCAGAACCCUUAUCACAUAGAGAAGUGGGGACGAUCCACUAACCUAGGAGCAAAUGGCCUGAAGGAGUAGACUUGCCUUCACAUAGAUCAAAUGUGUCAUAAGAUAGAAGCAUUGCUACAUCAACAGGGCAUGCUCAUCAGGCUCUUGGCACGGUAUGUGUGGGACACUCAAUCCAAUUAACUUGAGGAUGUUUGGAUACAGAGACUGUUUACAAAGAUAUGGGCAGGGUAUCAGGAGGACCAGGGCUGAUAGGAGCUCUAAGCCUGCAGGGGUAAGAGGGGAAAGCAGGUCCAGGGACUCAGAGAGUCCCUUGGAGAGGGCUGCUUCAAAAGGAGCUAUGGCCUUUAGGUUGAGGGACACAGCUAGCUCAUGGUAACCCCAUGGAAGGGAGCCAGAGAUUUCAUGUCUGGCCUCUCUCCUCUCUCCCUGUAGGCCCUGCACUUGCUGAGCCCACUGAGAAGCCAGAGAGCCCCUGAAUGUAGCUCCCUUGGCAGAGAGCAGGGCAGAAAUUUACUCCCUUCCAGUUCUGGUGGCCAGAAGUUCAAAAUCAGGGUGUUGGCAGGGCCACAGUCCCUCUGGAGGCGCCGGGCAUUCCUUGGCUCGCAUCUGCAUCACUCCAGUCCCCACCUCUGUCUUCACAUCACCUUCUCCUCUCCUCUGUGUGUCUCUCCUGUCUGCGUCUUCUGCAAAGACACUUGCCAUUGGAUUUAUAACUGGGUAACCCAGGACGAUCUCCUUUUCUCGAAAUCCUUAAUUACAUCUGCAGAGAUUCUUUUCCCGCAUAACAUUCACAGGUUCCAGGGAUUUGACGUGGAUAUAUCUUUUGGGGGGCCAAGGGUCAAUCCACUGUACCAGCCUUCCACAUCUCACCUUUCUCCCUGAUGUGUUGAGAUGGAAGGGAACCCUCUGUCUCCCAAUGGCCUCCCGGAACGAUUGCCCCUUAGCACUGUGAGCUAGAGCACCUUUGCAUAUCUGCUUUAAGUAGAUACUGAUCCUUCAGAAGGGGUGGUGAGGGGUUGGGGUGCACAUUUUACCUUGUGUCAGAAAAUGAUUCACAUCAUGGCCUGUGGCAAGUACUGUGUCUUCUGUGAGCUCUGUUUCACAUCUUUGAGAUGAAGUAGUGAGAUCAAAUGCCUGCAACAGGCCAGGUGAGGUGGCUCAUGCCUUGUAAUCUCAGCACUUUGGGAGGCCGAGGUGGGCAGACUGCUUGAGCUCAGGAGUUUGAGA
This is a non-coding RNA of Chlorocebus sabaeus (green monkey), 5719 nucleotides long. NCBI's taxonomy places the organism in Eukaryota, Metazoa, Chordata, Mammalia, Primates, Cercopithecidae. The record is from RefSeq and is a predicted model, not a curated record.